RNAcentral lists this ribosomal RNA (253 nucleotides) under uncultured bacterium. RNAcentral's name for it is "partial 16S ribosomal RNA". It matches the Rfam family "Bacterial small subunit ribosomal RNA", at positions 524 to 776 of the family's 1533-position model. The record is from RNAcentral.
UACAGAGGUCUCAAGCGUUGUUCGGAUUCAUUGGGCGUAAAGGGUGCGUAGGUGGCGCGCUAAGUCAGGUGUGAAAUUUCGGAGCUUAACUCCGAAACUGCAUUUGAUACUGGCGUGCUUGAGGACUGGAGAGGAGACUGGAAUUCAUGGUGUAGCAGUGAAAUGCGUAGAGAUCAUGAGGAAGACCAGUGGCGAAGGCGGUCUUCUGGACGGUGACUGACGCUGAGGCGCGAAAGCGUGGGGAGCAAACAGG